CGUUCCCGGGCCUUGUACACACCGCCCGUCACACCACGAAAGUCGGUAACACCCGAAGCCAGUGGCCCAACCCUUUUGGGAGGGAGCUGUCGAAGGUGGGAUCGGCGAUUGGGGUG
Molecule: ribosomal RNA, 116 nt
Filed under: uncultured bacterium
Lineage: Bacteria
Description: partial 16S ribosomal RNA
Rfam family: Bacterial small subunit ribosomal RNA
Source: RNAcentral